RNAcentral lists this long non-coding RNA (2065 nucleotides) under Linum usitatissimum (flax). Its description in RNAcentral is "long non-coding RNA (LUSI_LNC003481)". Lineage: Eukaryota; Viridiplantae; Streptophyta; Magnoliopsida; Malpighiales; Linaceae. The record is from RNAcentral.
UUUAGAGUAAGAGAAAUUAUCCCCUAAGUCUUUGGAACAUAAUCAAACUUCCUCCUCUUUUAUGCUAUGUUUGGCCGCUGAAAUUUGAAUUGAAAAGGAAAAGUGUCUAAUUCCUCAUAAUCUUCAUUUCAAAAUUGAUUGGAUACAAAAUUGAAUAGGAAAGUGAAUGGGAAAAUAAAUAUUAUAUACUAAUAAAUAUGACAGAAUUACCCUGAAAAAUUCUAAAGCAAAAAAGUUGUUGCUUUUUAAAUCUAUUGAAUGUUAAUGUUUAUUAAUUUCCGCCAAGGUACAAAAUUUUCUAUUAAAAUAUGAUUCGACCGAACUAAAAAUAGCUACUAGCAAUAAAAUUUCAUAGUACCAAAAUGAUUGUAACGCUUCUGAUUCUUGAACGUCCUUCUCAAAAUUUCUCCAACCUCCAUGGUAGCAUCAACUUCAUAAUACCUUGUGCUCAAUACAAGAUCAUCCUCAAAUACCUUAUCAAUAUCAAGGAUAUCGUUCUCAGUAGGUACAAGAUCCUUAAUACCUCGUGCUUCCUUUCCAGUUGCACUUGAGUUGCCAAAAAUUGUGGCUAGCUCAUCAUAUCAUUCAAUUGGAACUCGAUUUAAACUCCUGCAUAUGCUGCAAUUCUGCAAAAUAGACAUGGAGGAAAACAAUUCAAUAAAACCACUCAUUCAAUCUCCCUGUCCACUACCAUAAAACCAUUUCAAAAUAGAAAUCAAAGAGAGUUGAAAUAGUUGGAACCAUUUCUGAUCCUUUAUUCCAGUCCAGUUUUCCUUGGAAUUUAGUUUUCCAAAUUGUAUCAACAAUCAAAGCCAAGCAUAGGUCUUCAGAUAUCAAAACUACUAACAAAUCAAAACAAAGUUAGUAAGAACAUAUAAGUUGUGCUCAACUAACAACAGUUACUCGACUAGGCAUACGUUCUUCUAAGAACACAUAAGUUUCUCAUACGCACAUCUCAGACUAGUCUGGAUGCAGCUCAACUGCUCAGUACCACUAACGAAAUGAUCUCCUACAGUUAUGGUUUAUCGAAUAAAUGCCACCUCUACCAAUACUUGAAACUAACACCUCAAAGAAAUAUAUGAAUGAAGACCCAUUUUCAUAAGGCAUUAGAAAACAGAGACGACACAUGAACAAGCAGAGAAUAACAAAUUAGAGACAAGCAUAACAGAUGGAAAAAGAUUGAACAAGCAAAACUGAACAGCCCUUGAAUAGCCCUCCCUACCGUUGAUUCUGCUAUGUUGAAUUGCUUCGACUCUCCAUCAUAGUUGGACCCCUGAAUGAGAAACAAAUUAACUAAGAUAACACAAAGCAAUGAAACAUCCAACUUAAAGCUAGCUGCCUACACACAAAACUUGAACAUUCCAACUUAAAGCUAGUUGCCUACUACAUUUCUUGUAUUGAAACCAUGAAAUAGGAUCAUAUGGGUUGAAAAUUAGAAACAAAGGUUUAAGAAGCCAAAUCAAAGGUGAAUACCCGGUAGUAGCCUCAUAGCAAGAUAGAGAAUUAUUAACAAUUCAUCCAAAUAUGACUUUAGCAAAUGACUUUAACAAAUCGUUGACAAACAAACAUUAACAUCACCUCUGGAAACCCUAACACAUAAAUUUCAACAUACAAGUAAUCAAUCAAACACAGUGAAGGCCAAGAAUUCAGUAAGAGCUGAGUAAUAUCCAAACCGAGACGACUCAAGGUGGCAGCAGGGUGGAGCCGAGUAAUACCUGAACUGAGACAACUCGAAGUGGCAGUAGGCUAAAGAUAUUCGAGAAGAGAUGACUGGAGAGAUGGCGGAAGAGAUGAUUGGAGAGAUGGAAAGAUCCUGAGAAACGAUGAGAAGAUUUUAAGAUGGAAAGACAGAGAGAGACCAGUGAAGACAGACACAAAAAAGUAUACCUGGCUGACCGAAGAACUGCGACAGCGAUGGGAGCUGCUAUGGUGGCUAUCGGAUUGAGCUCCAUGGGAGCUGGUGAUCAGAUAUUUAGGUCGGCGGAAUUAGAUCUCUCGUACAAACAGAUAAAAGAGUUAAUGGAAUUUAUUUAAAAUUAGACAAAUAAAGUGGCGGUGUUUUUAG